AUUGAACGCUGGCGGCAGGCCUAACACAUGCAAGUCGAACGGUAACAGGAAGAAGCUUGCUUCUUUGCUGACGAGUGGCGGACGGGUGAGUAAUGUCUGUGAAACUGCCUGAUGUAGGGGGAUAACUACUGGAAACGGUAGCUAAUACCGCAUAACGUCGCAAGACCAAAGAGGGGGACCUUCUGGCCUCUUGCCAUCGUAUGUGCCCAGAUGGGAUUAGCUAGUAGGUGGGGUAACGGCUCACCUAGGCGACGAUCCCUAGCUGGUCUGAGAGGAUGACCAGCCACACUGGAACUGAGACACGGUCCAGACUCCUACGGGAGGCAGCAGUGGGGAAUAUUGCACAAUGGGCGCAAGCCUGAUGCAGCCAUGCCGCGUGUAUGAAGAAGGCCUUCGGGUUGUAAAGUACUUUCAGCGGGGAGGAAGGGAGUAAAGUUAAUACCUUUGCUCAUUGACGGUACCCGCAGAAGAAGCACCGGCUAACUCCGUG
RNAcentral lists this ribosomal RNA (490 nucleotides) under uncultured bacterium. Its description in RNAcentral is "partial 16S ribosomal RNA". It matches the Rfam family "Bacterial small subunit ribosomal RNA", at positions 30 to 507 of the family's 1533-position model. The record is from RNAcentral.